This is a non-coding RNA of Pantoea vagans C9-1, 116 nucleotides long. The record is from Rfam. Lineage: Bacteria; Pseudomonadati; Pseudomonadota; Gammaproteobacteria; Enterobacterales; Erwiniaceae.
CCUGGCGGCUUUAGCGCGGUGGUCCCACCUGACCCCAUGCCGAACUCAGAAGUGAAACGCCGUAGCGCCGAUGGUAGUGUGGGGCCUCCCCAUGCGAGAGUAGGGAACUGCCAGGC